GGCAGCCUCCAUGAACUAGCUGAGCAGUGGCCGUGCGGUCAACAUGAGAACGAAUCCAUUUGACUGCGGGAUGCGGGUUUCCCAAACAGAAGGAGUUGAGGAGGCAGUGGGAAAUAGCUGUAAGAAGGGAAGGUUUUUCAGCCAGUGAGUCGUCCGUGCUCUGCAGUGAACAUUCAAGCCGGAGGACUUUGACAGGACGGGUCAGCUUGUCAGGAUCAGAGAUGGAAGUAAACCAUCUGUCUUCAUUUCCCCGACUCAUCUCCAAAAAGAUGACUCAGUCCCGUUAUGUUGUUUUAUGUAUUAUUGUCAUUGUGACUUCUGGGCGUUAAUGGUGGCUAUGGUCUUGGUUUAGGAGCUGUUUUGAAGAGAUAGCAUUCCCUGAUGAGUAGCCACGUUUCUUUGUUGAAAACAGAUAUAUCAUUUUGUUUGGUAUUUUAAUAUGAAUAAAUAUGUACUACUCUCUUUCCGGUAAUGUGCACGUGGAGAGAGGAGCUAUUUUGAAGAUAUAGCAUGUCCUGAUGGGUACGUUUCUUUGUUGAAAACAGAAAAUACAUGGUUUGAAACCAGGAGAAGUUGUCCGCCUCCUUUUUAAAGAAGAAACGCAUAACGAAGACGAACACCGGUCACAGUUGGUCACAUAUUUUAAGUAACUGAAGACUGUACGCAUAAACCCUUGAAUAUAUAAACGACUCAUUUAAAUCGGUUUAGAAAUGCAAACGUUAUAUUGCUUUUUAUCCAAAAAGACCGCAACUUCCCCGUUUACUAGUAUGUGUUUACAGGACAGUCAUGCCCGGACCAAUAUGGCGGACGGACUCGGUCGAUGUGGCGUCUAUGUAUAUAUGUCUAUGGUAUUGUCGCAACAAAUUCUAUCCCCCUUACAAAACGUAUCCCCUCCGGGGUCAUGGUUCCGGUUCCGCCUAAUGACGUCAAAUCACAUUUAAAUAUAUAUUAUAUAUAUAUAAGCUCCGUGAAGUGAACCAGUUUUUUAUUUUUUAUUCUCUUUUAUUAUUUUAUUCAUUUUAUUUUAUUUGUAUUGUACUUAAAAUUUAGUUACCUCUUAACCCCUGUCAUUUGUGAUGUUAUUGUGAUACUUUUGCUUCACAUAUUGUGAUUGGUAUUGUUAUAUUACUACGUUGUCAAUAAAUACACUAAUAAAAAAAAUAAAAAAA
Molecule: long non-coding RNA, 1169 nt
Organism: Conger conger (European conger)
Lineage: Eukaryota; Metazoa; Chordata; Actinopteri; Anguilliformes; Congridae
Exons: 2
Source: RefSeq, a predicted model, not a curated record